Non-coding RNA from Apteryx haastii (Great spotted kiwi), 132 nucleotides. NCBI's taxonomy places the organism in Eukaryota, Metazoa, Chordata, Aves, Apterygiformes, Apterygidae. The record is from Ensembl.
UCUGGAGGACUAAGAAAGUAGAGCCAGUGAAGUUGUAUUGACUCUGCUGAUACUAUCCUCCUAAAUGAAAUGGUGGAAGAACAAGGCCUGUCUGUGAAAUGGAGUCAGGACCUACUUUCUCUACCUACAAGG